Molecule: long non-coding RNA, 485 nt
Filed under: Homo sapiens (human)
Lineage: Eukaryota; Metazoa; Chordata; Mammalia; Primates; Hominidae
Description: novel transcript
Source: RNAcentral
GCCGUCUGCGCGCCGGUCUCCUUCCUGGAGUGCGGCUCCGACGAGCUGUCUGUGGGCCGCGCGGGUUACCUGUGUGCCGCGCUGGUGCUCAAGCAGAAACUCGUCCAGGAGUUUUCUUCACAGGAAAAAAGCCAAUUCAGUAUUAAAAUGCUAGCCAAGAUUGAGGGCGAGUACACAGAAGUCGUCUGCACAUUCAAAGAAGCAAGACAAGCUUUUGAAAAUAACAAAAAAAUCUAUGGAGAAGUGAACCCAGAGAAUUUGCACUGACACCCAUGGACGGAAGGAACAUGGAUGAAGCUGGAGGCUAUUUUCCUUAGCAAACUACCACAGAAACAUAAAACCAAACACCACAUGCUUUCAUUUAUAAGUGGGAGCUAAAUGAUGGGAACUUAUGAACACGAAGGGAACAGCAGACACUGGGGUCUACUUGAGGGUGGAUGGUGGGAGAAUGGUGAGGAGCAGAAUAGAUAACUAUUGGAUACUGG